Molecule: ribosomal RNA, 253 nt
Filed under: uncultured bacterium
Lineage: Bacteria
Description: partial 16S ribosomal RNA
Rfam family: Bacterial small subunit ribosomal RNA
Source: RNAcentral
UACGUAGGGGGCUAGCGUUGUCCGGAUUUAUUGGGCGUAAAGAGCGUGUAGGCGGCCCGGUAGGUCUGGUGUGAAAACUCGAGGCUUAACCUUGAGAUGUCAUCGGAAACCAUUUGGCUAGAGUCCGGAAGAGGAAAGUGGAAUUCCUGGUGUAGCGGUGAAAUGCGUAGAUAUCUGGAGGAACACCGGUGGCGAAGGCGGCAUCCUGGACCGACAUUGACGCUGAGGCGCGAAAGCCAGGGGAGCAAACGGG